GGGCCUUUAGCUCAGUUGGUUAGAGCGCUAUCCUGAUAAGGUAGAGGUCUCUGGUUCGAGCCCAGAAAGGCCCACCA
This 77-nucleotide transfer RNA is filed under the name bacterium. Its description in RNAcentral is "tRNA-Ile". It matches the Rfam family "tRNA". Rfam says of the family: Transfer RNA (tRNA) molecules are approximately 80 nucleotides in length. Their secondary structure includes four short double-helical elements and three loops (D, anti-codon, and T loops). RNAcentral also lists the same sequence under 6 other names. The record is from RNAcentral.